This 500-nucleotide ribosomal RNA is filed under the name uncultured Myrionecta. RNAcentral describes it as "SSU rRNA". It matches the Rfam family "Eukaryotic small subunit ribosomal RNA", at positions 32 to 600 of the family's 1831-position model. Lineage: Eukaryota; Ciliophora; Litostomatea; Cyclotrichida; Mesodiniidae. The record is from RNAcentral.
UUGUCUAGACUAGCCAUGCACGUCUAAGUACAAACUAAAUGAUGGUGAAACUGCAAAUGGCUCAUUACAACGGUUAUGAUGUACCCGGGAGUUCCGAUGGAUAUUUCCAGUAACACUAGAACUAAUACAUGUCCCUGCGUUUAUUAGUUUCGCACAGUCCGUCGCUGAGUCAUGGUAAACAGUUGAUCGACUCGACGUCCCGGAACAGUUUCCGCCCCAUCAGCUUCGAUGGUUGGGUAUUGGCCUACCAUUGCAACAACGGGUAACGAGGAAUUAGGGUUUGAUUUCGGAGAGGGAGCCUGAGAAACGGCUACCACAUCUACGGAUGGCAGCAGGCGCGCAAAUUACCCAAUGCAGACACUGUGAGGUAGUGACGAGAAAUAAUAAAGCGGGACUUCUGUUUCGCUAUUAUAAUGAGGAAUAACCAAAGGUCAUUCCGAUUAGCAACUGAUGGGAAAGUCUGGUGCCAGCAGCCGCGGUAAUACCAGCGUCAGUAGCAU